RNAcentral lists this unclassified non-coding RNA (255 nucleotides) under uncultured fungus. Its description in RNAcentral is "sequence contains ITS1, 5.8S rRNA gene". Lineage: Eukaryota; Fungi. The record is from RNAcentral.
CCACACACGAUCCAAGAUCGACACGUUUUGUGAACUGUUUUAAUAUAAUUUUCUUUGUUGAGUUUGGGGGUUUCGUGUUUUAUAUUGGUCAGAAAAAUUUUCUGACUUCCGAUAUAAAGCUUAACCUUCACAAACACAACUGAAGAAAAUUAAAUCAUAAAACCAAACCUUUAAACAAAAAUGAUUUAUACAUUGGAACUUAAAUGUUACUUAUCAAGUUCGUCUUGAUGUAACGCUAGAUUAUUAAUUGUAAAA